This 542-nucleotide long non-coding RNA is filed under the name Homo sapiens (human). RNAcentral's name for it is "HSALNT0379354". The record is from RNAcentral. Lineage: Eukaryota; Metazoa; Chordata; Mammalia; Primates; Hominidae.
GUGAAUUACUCUUUGACUGACCUGAAAAUGCACCGGGACCACUCCUCAGGUCUCCCUGCGAUUCAGUCACCAGUCACAGCUCUGCUGGGACCGCACACUGUCCCCCACACAUGCCGCCCUUGACUGUUGUGACAAAGAGCUUCCAAGAGCAUCAGCAUAACAACAGCAUGCAGAGGCUGCAGGGGAUCUGAAACUAUCAGUGGGGCAGUUGGAAGCACGUCUCUACACAUGGUUUUCCAGGGUGGUAUCUUUGCAGCACGCAGAAAUCCUCUUCUGAAGAGUCCUUUGCUGUAUUCCCCCGUGCCUCCCCACCCCCACCCUCCCACCCCCGCUAAUGGGCAUGUUUCCGUGAACACUGAAGACGAAAAACAUGCGAUUUUGAAUGUGUCUCUUUCACGGUCACACAUUUCUUUUUAUUGUGCAUCUUGGCUGAGCCACGCUUUAAAAUUCCCAGCAACCGUUCCCAAGUCAGUUUUCAAAGAGUCUUGCACCUUUGACCCAAUAAAAACCAGAGAGAACUGGACGAAGACUUGUGGCAUGUC